GAUGAACGCUGGCGGCGUGCCUAAUACAUGCAAGUCGAGCGAACGGACGAGAAGCUUGCUUCUCUGAUGUUAGCGGCGGACGGGUGAGUAACACGUGGAUAACCUACCUAUAAGACUGGGAUAACUUCGGGAAACCGGAGCUAAUACCGGAUGAUAUUUUGAACCGCAUGGUUCAAAAGUGAAAGACGGUCUUGCUGUCACUUAUAGAUGGAUCCGCGCUGCAUUAGCUAGUUGGUAAGGUAACGGCUUACCAAGGCAACGAUGCAUAGCCGACCUGAGAGGGUGAUCGGCCACACUGGAACUGAGACACGGUCCAGACUCCUACGGGAGGCAGCAGUAGGGAAUCUUCCGCAAUGGGCGAAAGCCUGACGGAGCAACGCCGCGUGAGUGAUGAAGGUCUUCGGAUCGUAAAACUCUGUUAUUAGGGAAGAACAUAUGUGUAAGUAACUGUGCACAUCUUGACGGUACCUAAUCAGAAAGCCACGGCUAACUACGUGCCAGCAGCCGCGGUAAUACGUAGGUGGCAAGCGUUAUCCGGAAUUAUUGGGCGUAAAGCGCGCGUAGGCGGUUUUUUAAGUCUGAUGUGAAAGCCCACGGCUCAACCGUGGAGGGUCAUUGGAAACUGGAAAACUUGAGUGCAGAAGAGGAAAGUGGAAUUCCAUGUGUAGCGGUGAAAUGCGCAGAGAUAUGGAGGAACACCAGUGGCGAAGGCGACUUUCUGGUCUGUAACUGACGCUGAUGUGCGAACGCGUGGGGAUCAAACAGGAUUAGAUACCCUGGUAGUCCACGCCGUAAACGAUGAGUGCUAAGUGUUAGGGGGUUUCCGCCCCUUAGUGCUGCAGCUAACGCAUUAAGCACUCCGCCUGGGGAGUACGACCGCAAGGUUGAAACUCAAAGGAAUUGACGGGGACCCGCACAAGCGGUGGAGCAUGUGGUUUAAUUCGAAGCAACGCGAAGAACCUUACCAAAUCUUGACAUCCUUUGACAACUCUAGAGAUAGAGCCUUCCCCUUCGGGGGACAAAGUGACAGGUGGUGCAUGGUUGUCGUCAGCUCGUGUCGUGAGAUGUUGGGUUAAGUCCCGCAACGAGCGCAACCCUUAAGCUUAGUUGCCAUCAUUAAGUUGGGCACUCUAAGUUGACUGCCGGUGACAAACCGGAGGAAGGUGGGGAUGACGUCAAAUCAUCAUGCCCCUUAUGAUUUGGGCUACACACGUGCUACAAUGGACAAUACAAAGGGCAGCGAAACCGCGAGGUCAAGCAAAUCCCAUAAAGUUGUUCUCAGUUCGGAUUGUAGUCUGCAACUCGACUACAUGAAGCUGGAAUCGCUAGUAAUCGUAGAUCAGCAUGCUACGGUGAAUACGUUCCCGGGUCU
Molecule: ribosomal RNA, 1372 nt
Filed under: uncultured bacterium
Lineage: Bacteria
Description: bacterial SSU rRNA
Rfam family: Bacterial small subunit ribosomal RNA
Source: RNAcentral